GAGAUAGCUGAUCAAUGAUUCUCAUCAUUGAUGUUUCUAUUUCUCCCUCUCCCUUUCUCUCUAAAAUCAAUAAAAUUCCUUAAGAGCUAUUAAUGAGAAAUAAAGUUAAAAAAAAUAAAAACCCAUUGCACACUUUAAAAGAUGGGCACUGUAGCAUGUUAAUUAUGUCAAAGCUGUUUUUAAAGGUAAAAUAGCUCCCAAGUGCUUCCCACCCAGCACAUACCUUUCCCAGCCCCCGAACUUACAAAGCAUAAGGGUCACUUGGGUGCUUGAGGCAACCGUUCUGGAGGAGGGCCCAGUGAUACGGUUUUUAAUAAAUGCACCAGGCAAGGUGGGACCCAGAGCAGGAGGAAGCAGAGGGCAGGGCUGGAGCUGGGGACUCGGGUACUUUCCAGCAAUGCAGAGAGCGGCCCUGCCAGGUGUGCCUGGAGCCCCCUGGCUGAGCAUCUCCAGGCAAGGGAAUGGCUACAGAAGUGAGUUGGCCAAACUCAAGGGGAGCCAGAGGUGGGCCUAUGCAGGUGCCACAAGCCCUCAAACUGACACAGAGAACCAGGAAUCUUCCUUAGCUUCCCCAAGCCUGGGAGCUCAGGAAUAAUACUGAAAGCAUCAAUAACCAUCUAUUACAUAUUCAAGUGUAAAUGGGCUAAAAAGUAAAGGUGCUGGUAUACAAAUGGAACAGGUAUUUACAGCCAGGUUCGGCUGAAUCUCGGGUGACUCUCGGGCACCUGGGAAAAUCGGCCUUGUCACUUCAAAGUCUACCCUCUUCUGGGCUUGGUCACCUACAUGACCACCAGACUUGAGCUUCAAAUGACUGUUUCCAAAAUUCCACUUUAAACACACCAUUUGCAUCCAUGAAGUUGCUUACAGGAAUGUGAUUUGAGCUCUACGUAUCUCAUUUCUGAAGGGGGAAUGUGGCAGUGUGUGGGAAUGACGACCUGGCCUCCCGAGAACAAGAGGCGGCUGCACCCUCUGGUCUGCCAUUAAAAGAGGGGGGUAUGGUUGUCUUAGGGCAGUGGUCGGCAAACUCAUUAGUCAACAGAGCCAAAUAUCAACAGUACUUCAAAAUAGACUCGCCCAGGCCGAAAACUGACUUCUGUGCAUGGGCCACGAAGUUUCAAUCGCACUGUACGCGUGCCCGCACGUGGUAUUUUGUGGAAGAGCCACACUCAAGGGGCCAAAGAGCUGCAUGUGGCUCGCAAGCCACAGUUUGCCGACCACGGUCUUAGGGGGUUGCAAACUCACAGUCCCAUAGUGUGCUGUUUGGCUUGCAUAGUGUGUUUUUUUUGUCUGCUAACAUUUUCAAAUGAGGAUAGUUUACAUGAAAUGCCUCCCUUCUGGCUUAUCUUGGAAAUUUGUAACAUUGACAUUCCCUCAUGGCCACAGCUGGCUGAAGCGGACCAUCACAGUGAGGACACAGCCAGCCUGCCCUUGACCAGCCAGCCAUUCCACUGGCCACCAGGAUAUGUGUGUGUGUCGAAUUCUCGUCCUGUCUUGGAAUCAGUUUUCUUCCAUUAUUUUUCUUUUGGAGUUGACCCAGUCCCUGAAUCAGUGAGCACCAGACAGGGCUGAUGAAGAAAGGAAGGGAUGAUGGUGGCCUGCGCAGGGACAGGGAGCAAAUGAAAUGAUGUCUACAAAACAUGUAUGUGGAUGUGCAUAUAAAGGAUGUUUCUAGAACACCGCAGGCACAUAGAGUGUGUAUGUGUGUCUUUCUGUUUGUCCAGAAGAGAGAGGGCGGGCACAGAUGCCCCUUGGUGACUAUACUCACGGGCCAGUCAUCAUCUCCACCGGCCGGUCACAGGAAAUGCAUUUCACCCGCUCAAACAGUUUCCUGGAAGACAUCAUUCAUCAGCUGUGGCACCCCAGCCAAGCCUGCGCGCUGCCCCUUUCCCAGGCAGUGUCUGGGGAGGCUGCAGGUCUGUCUAUGCCUCAUGGCCAGGACUAACCCUCAUAUCCUACACCCACUGGCCUGGCCCUGCUCAGUUGGCUUUGCUGGCCCCUGCUGACCCCCAUUUGUGGCCUCCUGGGGCAGAAGGGGGGAUAAAAGUGUGUGUCGCGCAUCUUCCUGCCCUAAACAUAAUGGAGGUCUUUAAAACCAGAGACCUUCUGGAAAGCUGACCAUCACAGUAGACAUUUGGGGCAUGAGGGGUGAUCUGAGGGCAGGAAGCCUCAUUGUCUGGGUGUGCUGUCUCGAUGGGGGUAGGGGACCUGGCUCUGUUCCCAGAUCCACCCAGGCUCCACUUGCAUGUCUCCUUCCCUCUCUGAACUCCUCAUUUGUGGCAAAAGGGCGCCAGCUAAGGCCAGAGCUGCCACCUCUGAGCGCCUGGGUGCUCUCAGGCCUCAUCCCAACCCUUUCCACACCCAGCUGGGAAGUACCGCCCCCUCUCCCCAAGUCCACAGGUCUGAAAUUCUUGCGUCUAGAAUCCCCUGGGAUCCCCCUCUCGUUCCCUCCUCAGACACAGGGUCCCCCAGCCUUCACAAGCUCCACCCCUCCCCAGGAGGGGCUCACUUCCUAAAGCCGGCGGCACUGUCAGGGUCGAAUCGGAGGCCUUCAAUUAGCAGCUUCUUGACUAUAUGCCAGACCUCAUUUAUGUCUUUCUUUAGACUGUCCAAAUCCGUGUUGUUCAGCUGGAACAACCAAAGGGGGGGUGGGGGGUGGGGGAGUGUUUAGUCAAUUAAUUCACAUGCUGCUUCACUCCAGAAAAGGAUUUGCAGUAACCUGCAAAGUGACAUCGAGCCUAACAAGAUUAAACAGAAAAAAGUGAGGUGGUUAAGGAGAGGGACCUGACAAAGCUUGGGUUAAGGUUCAUACCCCUAAUGCACGCUAAUGCUAGAGGGGAGCUGCCAAGUGAACUUCCCAGCAGCCACGGCAAAGAAACACCAUCAGUUCCUGCCUCCAAAUGAUAAAACCAACCCUAUGCUCAAUUACAGGCCUGCAGGCCCGAGAAACAUUCCUCCCAAUGGUCCCCAGACAACUAAUAUUCACACAUUCAACACAUUUACUGAGUGCAAAGUACUAGUAUACAUUCAAUGGCUUUGGAUAUAUUCACAGAGUUGUGCAAUCAUCACCACAACAAUUUUAGAACAUUUUCAUCACUCCCAAAGAAACCUCAUACCCAUUAGCAGUCACCCCUCACUUCCCCCCAGAUCUCUAGGGGUAGGUAACCACUAACCUACUUUCUGUCUCUAUAGAUUCGUCUAUUUUGAACAUUUCACAUAAAUGGAAUCACACAACCUGUGGCCUUUUUGUCUGGCUUCUUUCCCUGAGCAUAUUCUUUUCAAGGCUUAUUCAGGUUGUAGCAUUCCUUUUUAUGGCUGAAUAACAUUUAAUUUUAUGGCUAAACUAUAUAUUGUUUAUCCAUUCACCCACUGAUGGACUUUUGUGUUGUUUUCACUUUUUAGCAACUAUAAUGCUGCUAUAAACGUUCUUGUACAAGUUUGUACAUAGACAUAAGUUUUCAUUUCUUUUGGGUAGAUACGUAGGAGUGGAAAUGCUGACUGGUAUGGUAAUUCUAUGUCUAACUUUUUAAAAGACUGCCAGACUGUUUUCCACAUGGGACUUCUGAAUUUUUACAGUGUUCCUUCCAGUACCCAGAUUCUGGUCUCUAAACACCAAUGCCCACUAAAAGGAACCAGGACUCCAUAGGAGAUAUAGCUGACUCAGGUCACAGGAAGGGAAUGUUGAUAAUAAGCCUGUGACCUCUUGUCAUUUAAGAAAACAAGACAGUUAUCUGAUUACAGAAGGUUAAGUCAAAGGACUCAGAAGCUAGCCCACAGGCCAAAGAUGAGGCCAUGUGAGUGACAAAAUAAAUAGUAACUUAAUUGACUGAGUGAAUUAAAUAAUAAAAAUUCAUGAUUCACAGUUACACUCACAAAGAAGAAAUAAAAAAAGAAAAAUAGAAACUCUCAAUUGCCACCAUGUUUUGGAUGUGGGCAUGUCCAUCAAUAUACUGUCCUGAAAACUGAUCACUAAAGGAAACAAUUCAUCAUUUUUCUGUCUUUCCUGAAAGAACCAUAUUUCAGGGUAAUCAGCUCAAGUUGAUGAAGGAAAGCUAUUCACAGAUUUCUAGCUGAUAAAUGUAGAAGCUACAUCUGUCUUGCUCCCUUGGGUCACUCAUUCUAGGGGAAGUCAACUGCAAUGGUGUGAGGCCACUUGAGCAGCCCUAAGAAGGAGUUCAUGUCGUGAGGAAGUGUGGAGUCUUGCCCACAGCCAUGUGAGGGGGCCAUCUUGGAAGCGGCUCCUCUGGCCCCAGUCAAACCUUCAGAUGACAGCAUCUUCAUGGGAGAACCUGAGCCAUCCAGCUAAGCAGCUCCCAAAUUCUUGACCUUCAGAAACUAAAUGUUUGUUGGUUUAAACUGCUAAAGUACAGGGUAAUUUGUUACAUCACAAGUGAUAACUGAUACAGGGAAACUCGCCUUGCUGCCCAUGUCCUUGCUGAGCUGCUCCACAGUCUUCUUCCAGUCAUCCUCUUGGGACAUGACCCUCAACAGUAUGCCCUGAAUCAUCUCGUUCAGCUCCGUUUCCACCCUCUCCAGAUCAACCCGGCUUGCCUUGGCAGCCAGGAUGCUCUUGUCAGCUUUCUAGAGAGAAAAGGGACUCAAAGAGGCAGAGCUGCUGGGGUGGGAGCAAGGAGAAGCUGGGGGAGAUCAGAUCAUUUUGGUCAUUUUUUUUCAAGUUUGGGACCCUGGAUAUGUAGCCUUGGCUUAAAUUCAAUCCUGGGGUCUAUGCUGGCUCGAAGACAAUCAUCAGAUCUAAGCUAAGGUUUUCCUAUGACAGAGUUGGUGGGUGAUUUUUAAGUUCAUAUAACAAAUUGUCACUAACCUGAAGCACUGAAAAUAGGAGCUGAUGGGACAACUUUUGAGAAGUGUCCCCAGCCUUUCCAUGUGAAUAAAGGUGGAGGGAGACUGAAGUCACCCCGCCAGGUUUUGUCUUGGCUCGAUGAUUCCAUUUCCCUGGGUGGGAGAGCUGGGGCUCAGGAUGAGGGAGCAGGAGGGGAGAGAAAUCUGCUCACUCACCUCUUUUAACUCCUGCUCCAUCGCACUUUUGUCCGCCUUGAUCAUGUCUAGGUUUUUUAUUUGAGACUCUAGAAUCUAAGAAAAGAAGCAAAGGGCAUGUCAGCCAUCCCUGGAAUCCCUGAGGAUACUAUCCACCUCUCACCUCUACCCUUGCUGUGGUGCUAAGAAGGGACCAUGAGACCAGGUGGACAGCAGGUAGGGUGGGCACAUGGGAAGGCUUGGGCUCCUGGGUGCCUGGUGCCAAGAUUAGAAGGGAAGAAAUGUGAGACUUGGGAAAAGUUGUCCUCUUGGAGGCAGACAUGGCAAUUUUGUUGCACAGGGAGGCAGACCUAAGGCAGGAAAACAUAAACCAAUGCUUUGGCUCCUUAUAUGUUUAGGACAAGUUCCUCUCUUCGGAUCUGUAAUGAGGUCCCAGUAAGAACUGCAGUCUAUUCAUCAGCCAAGCACUUACAUAUCACAUACUGUACCCCAUUGUCAAAGGAAAACUCUUCUUUCCCUUUCCCAUGACUCUACUCUCUCCAUUACUUCUGCCUCCUCUCCACUUACUGAACUCUCCUAUGAGGCAGCAGCACCGACCUGGUUGGGAAGAGCCUCACGCCCACUGGGCUAUGUCCCCAGAGGCUGAGGUCACUUUUCCUCCAAAGCAGAAAAUAGGCUUCUACUUCUUCCUUCCUAUCUUGUCUUCCUCUCAUCCUUAGCAACAGAACCUCCAACUUUUAGCUGGCAUCUAACCUCCCAGAAUCAUGACUACAUUUCAUAGCCCCCCUUACAGCUUGGUGUGACCACUGGGGGUAAAAUAGAAGUGGAUAGAUGUCUUAUUCACUGCUGGCUUGAAUGCAGAAUUAAUGUCUAGAGCACCAGCAGCCACCUUGGAGCUUGAGGUGACCUUGUGAACGGAAGUCACACACCAUGGAAUUCUAGACCAGCUCUAGACCAAUCAUUUCUGACUUUCUUGUUUUUCUGUUACCUUGUUUCAGUCAGUUAUCUGGGAGUUCAUGUUAUUCGCAGUAGAACUGAAUUCUAAUUAAUGCAAAGCUCCAUCACAUCCACUUGCAAAGGGAAGUAAUGUUUUCCAGAGAGUCAAAAAAAAAAAAAA
This is a long non-coding RNA of Myotis myotis, 6109 nucleotides long. RefSeq lists it as uncharacterized. Lineage: Eukaryota; Metazoa; Chordata; Mammalia; Chiroptera; Vespertilionidae. The transcript is spliced from 2 exons. The record is from RefSeq and is a predicted model, not a curated record.